GUCCCUGUAGCGCAGUGGAUAGUGCAUUGGACCUCUAAUCCAAAGUUCGUGGGUACGAAUUCCACCUGGGAUG
This is a non-coding RNA of Trichonephila inaurata madagascariensis, 73 nucleotides long. Lineage: Eukaryota; Metazoa; Arthropoda; Arachnida; Araneae; Nephilidae. The record is from the annotation of a GenBank genome assembly.